AUGGAACAGCCUUCAGCUUCACCUGCAACUAACAACGCUAUAAGAGGGGCUGAUCAAAGCGGUAACUUAGCCAAACAAUGGUUUGCUAGGAAAGGUGGGUUAGAGGCUUCACAUGGCAAUAUGGGAGGCAUGAUAAACAAGUGGGAGGAACGAGGCAGUAUGAGCCUGCGGGAGGUGGUCGCCGGCGGCAAGGUCCCAGCGAGCAGGCGGUCAACGCAUGAGGCACGGUCGGGAGCUUCUCGCCCGAACCAAAACGAGCAUGGAGGUAGGUGA
RNAcentral lists this ribosomal RNA (273 nucleotides) under Triticum aestivum (bread wheat). RNAcentral describes it as "partial small subunit ribosomal RNA". The record is from RNAcentral. Lineage: Eukaryota; Viridiplantae; Streptophyta; Magnoliopsida; Poales; Poaceae.